Molecule: ribosomal RNA, 405 nt
Filed under: uncultured bacterium
Lineage: Bacteria
Description: partial 16S ribosomal RNA
Rfam family: Bacterial small subunit ribosomal RNA
Source: RNAcentral
AUUGAACGCUGGCGGCAGGCCUAACACAUGCAAGUCGAGCGAGCGGCGGAAGGGUGAGUAAUGUCUGGGAAACUGCCUGAUGGAGGGGGAUAACUACUGGAAACGGUAGCUAAUACCGCAUACCAUCAGAUGUGCCCAGAUGGGAUUAGCUAGGAGGUGGGGUAAUGGCUCACCUGGGCGACGAUCCCUAGCUGGUCUGAGAGGCUGACCAGCCACAAUGGAAAGGAGACAGGGUCCAGAAUCAUAAGGGAGGCAGCAGGGGGGAAUAUGGAAAAAUGGGCGAAAGCCUGAUGCAGCCAGGCCGGGUGUGGGAAGAAGGCCUUGGGGUUGAAAAGCAGUUUCAGGGGGGAGGCGUUACCCGCAGAAGAAGCACCGGCUAACUCCGUGCCAGCAGCCGCGUAAUAC